This 248-nucleotide ribosomal RNA is filed under the name uncultured bacterium. Its description in RNAcentral is "partial 16S ribosomal RNA". It matches the Rfam family "Bacterial small subunit ribosomal RNA", at positions 796 to 1041 of the family's 1533-position model. The record is from RNAcentral.
CACGCCGUAAACGAUGAGUGCUAGGUGCUGCGGGUAUUGACCCCUGCGGUGCCGUAGCUAACGCGUUAAGCACUCCGCCUGGGGAGUACGGCCGCAAGGCUAAAACUCAAAGGAAUUGACGGGGGCCCGCACAAGCGGUGGAGCAUGUGGUUCAAUUCGACGCAACGCGCAGAACCUUACCUGGGUUAAAUCCACUCGAAUCUGGCAGAGAUGCCGGGGUGCCUUUCGGGGAACGAGUGAGAAGGUGC